Molecule: long non-coding RNA, 246 nt
Filed under: Elaeis guineensis (African oil palm)
Lineage: Eukaryota; Viridiplantae; Streptophyta; Magnoliopsida; Arecales; Arecaceae
Description: long non-coding RNA (EGUI_LNC068331)
Source: RNAcentral
CCCAUAAAAAUAAUCUAAGUUUAGGUUCAAAAUGUCUGCCAACAUCACCAUGACAGCCAUUCAAGACACCACCAACAUCAUCGCCAUUAUUACCAUCGUCACCAUGACCCAAGCAAGUCAAUUAAAAUAGUAAUUACAAUUUAGAUACUAGUCUCACAAAUAAAUCAAAGUGCCAGCACUACUCCAACAAUCUCAAAUGCAGCCCUAGCGAAUAACAAUCCAGCCGAUACUGUUCCGACACCAUCA